AUUGAACGCUGGCGGUAUGCUUAACACAUGCAAGUCGAACGAUGAGAAAGAGCUUGCUCUUUCGAUUAGUGGCGGACGGGUGCGUAACGCGUAGGAAUCUACCUAUUAGUGGGGGACAACUUAGGGAAACUUAAGCUAAUACCGCAUACGCCCUACGGGGGAAAGAAGGGGAUCGCAAGACCUUUUGCUAAUAGAUGCGCCUGCGUAGGAUUAGCUAGUUGGUGGGGUAAAAGCUCACCAAGGCGACGAUCCUUAACUGGUUUGAGAGAAUGAUCAGUCACACUGGAACUGAGACACAGUCCAGACUCCUACGGGAGGCAGCAGUGGGGAAUAUUGGACAAUGGGCGAAAGCCUGAUCCAGCAAUACCGCGUGUGUGAAGAAGGCCUUAGGGUUGUAAAGCACUUUCAAUUGGAAGGAAAACCUCGAAGCUAAUACCUUCGAGUUUGACAUUACCUUUAGAAGAAGCACCGGCUAACUCCGUGCCAGCAGCCGCCGUAA
RNAcentral lists this ribosomal RNA (499 nucleotides) under uncultured bacterium. RNAcentral describes it as "partial 16S ribosomal RNA". It matches the Rfam family "Bacterial small subunit ribosomal RNA", at positions 30 to 523 of the family's 1533-position model. The record is from RNAcentral.